GACGAACGCUGGCGGCGUGCUUAACACAUGCAAGUCGAACGGAAAGGCCCUGCUUGCAGGGUGCUCGAGUGGCGAACGGGUGAGUAACACGUGGGUGAUCUGCCCCUUACUUUGGGAUAAGCCUGGGAAACUGGGUCUAAUACUGGAUAGGACCAUGCUGUAGGUGGUGUGGUGGAAAGAUUAGUUUCGGUAAGGGAUGAGCUCGCGGCCUAUCAGCUUGUUGGUGGGGUAAUGGCCUACCAAGGCGUCGACGGGUAGCCGGCCUGAGAGGGUGGACGGCCAAAUUGGGACUGGGAACCGGCCCAGACCCCUACGGGGGGCAGCCGGGGGGAAUAUUGAACAAUGGGGGAAAGCCUGAUGCCGCGACGCCGCGUGGGGGAUGACGGCCUUCGGGUUGUAAACUCCUUUCAGCCAUGACGAAGCCCUUGUGGUGACGGUAGUGGUAGAAGAAGCCCCGGCUAACUACGU
RNAcentral lists this ribosomal RNA (468 nucleotides) under uncultured bacterium. RNAcentral describes it as "partial 16S ribosomal RNA". It matches the Rfam family "Bacterial small subunit ribosomal RNA", at positions 28 to 506 of the family's 1533-position model. The record is from RNAcentral.